Nerophis lumbriciformis (worm pipefish) is the source of this 1022-nucleotide long non-coding RNA. RefSeq lists it as uncharacterized. The record is from RefSeq and is a predicted model, not a curated record. NCBI's taxonomy places the organism in Eukaryota, Metazoa, Chordata, Actinopteri, Syngnathiformes, Syngnathidae.
AUUUUUUUUAUUUUUUUUAAAAAGGACCUUAUCUUCACCUUACCUGGUUGUCCAAAUUAGGCAUAAUAAUGUGUUAAUUCCACGACUGUAUAUAUCGGUAUCGGUUGAUAUCGGUAUCGGUAAUUAAAGAGUUGGAACAAUAUCGGAAAGUCGGAUAUCGGCAAAAAGCCAUUAUCGGACAUCCCUAGUAAUAUGUGAUGAAACAAGUGGAAUAUUUUAGAGAUUUGUGGUUUACUUGAUCAAUGAAAAAUACAUAUUUGAUCAGUUCCACCAUUAACAAUGUACUUGACUAAUCAUAAGCAUGUAUGGAUUAGGAAAACAAUUAAAUGCUGAUUAAAUUAACCGUUGUGUUAUGAUCUGUUUAUGCUUUGCUUUGUUAGGCGUAGAUUUCAUCUUAUUUUGUAGAGUUUAUGUUUUGUUCUACUUCCUCCUUAGGUUCCUCCCUUUCCGGUGCUGGGCAGAGCUUGAACUCGCUCCUGCUGUCCAUCAGUAAUUAGUUAGCUCGUUAGCGCUUUUGCUGUGUUUGUUUGUUUCGAUUCUCCUGGACUUCUCUCCCCGUAUGUUCCACACCACUCCUUCAUUUGGUGAAAGCCAAGCAAAGACUAACAGACAGAAGACGCCGUCUUGAGUGAGGUGUCAGGCUAGUAUUAAAUAAAUCGAAGCCGUUCCCCAUGAAUGGUUUGAGGAACAUAGAGUUGGGGUUUCCAUCUAUGGUGUCAUUCAAGUCCUCAACUGACUCGGGAUCUGGAAUCUUUUCGUCCAGAUUUGGACCAAUGUUCACAAAGUACUUAUUGAAUCUUCCAACUACUUUGUUCAUAUGGCCAUUUUUUACAUUUCCAUCUAAGAAGUAUUUAGGAUAGUCCUUUUUAGCACCAUUUUUAAUAAUGCUAUUUAGGAUGCCCCAUGUUGCUCUCAUUUUGUUUUUGUUCUGGUCCAAUAAUUGACUGUAAUAUUAUUUUCUACAUGUUCAUAGUAUGCCAGUUAGCUUGUUCUUAUACGUUUUGUACGUGUUUUCUGCUUCU